Molecule: ribosomal RNA, 301 nt
Filed under: uncultured bacterium
Lineage: Bacteria
Description: partial 16S ribosomal RNA
Rfam family: Bacterial small subunit ribosomal RNA
Source: RNAcentral
CAGUAGCCGCGGUAAUACGGAGGGGGCUAGCGUUGUUCGGAAUUACUGGGUGUAAAGCGCACGUAGGCGGCUUGGUAAGUUAGAGGUGAAAGCCCGGAGCUCAACUCCGGAAUUGCCUUUAAGACUGCCGAGCUAGUAGGUGAGAGAGGUAAGUGGAAUUCCGAGUGUAGAGGUGAAAUCCGUAGAUAUUCGGAAGAACACCAGUGGCGAAGGCGGCUUACUGGCUCAUUCUAGACGCUGAGGUGCGAAAGCGUGGGGAGCAAACAGGAUUAGAUACCCCCGUAGUCCCUGUCUCUUAUAC